Long non-coding RNA from Heterocephalus glaber (naked mole-rat), 2182 nucleotides. The record is from Ensembl. Lineage: Eukaryota; Metazoa; Chordata; Mammalia; Rodentia; Bathyergidae.
CGGGAGGCGGGAGGCGGGGGACCGAGCAGGGCCGCGGGGCCCUGGCAGUGGCGGCGGCGGCGUCGGCGGCGGCUCGGUGCAGCUCGGCGGUGACAGCGCCUCCGCCCCGCCUCCCCUCCCCGCCCCCCCGCGCGCGAGCUGCCGGCGGGACCCGCGCUGCUGACGGUCGGUACCAACCUAGCCAGCAGAGGCGGGGGCGCGAGGAGGCCGCGCGGAGGACCCCCCCGAGAUUGGUAUCACCUACCCCAUCCCAGCCUGUGAGCGCGCGCCCUCCCGGGCUGAGGCAGUCGGCUCCCGGCGCUGGACCCGGGGCUGCGGGCGGGGCCGGACGCGCCCGGCUCGGCGCCCCCGAGUCAAAGCCCCGGCCCCUACUCGCACCCCGAACCGCCCCGCCUCCAUCCUGGCUGCUCCUGGCGCCCAGCUUGGCAGCCUCUCUCAAAGGCAGGGACAAGCUCCUGAGUGGGAUCUCAGGGCCAUGGCAGUGAGGAGGCCUGUGCUCCACCAGCUCUGAAGAUACCAGCUACGUGAUGGGCUGAGGUCUUUAAUCAGUCUUGUCUCUAAGUCGAGAACAGGGUUGCACUAAGUGGCCCCUUGGGAUCCUAAGAGGCUGCGGCCUUGGGGUGCAGUUUGCAGGUGUCUGCAUUGCCCUCUAGCUCAUGGAAGCUUGAGCAGCUGGAGCGGGAAGGGCAGCAAGCUUCAUCUCACUAAUCAUGGAAUCCACAGCCAUGAUUUUGCUGAUGAGGGCAGAAAGGCCCAAGGAGGAGUCCACCAUCAUGCAGUGCACGUGCUCACCCACCAUUGCCCAGGCAGGGACACAAGAAACUCACAGUGAGAGCACCAGGCACCACCAAGAAGCCCUAGGAACACUGACCCUGUCUCUACAGUGGGCUGUGUGUUCCCUGGGGGCUGACUGCUGGUGGAUGCCAGAGAGAUACACAAGACACUCAUGGAUAUGGAAGGUGACAAACUGGGUCAAACCAGCUCACGGGCAAGAGAGCACCCAGAGGAGGCUGAGGGAAGGUGUCUUCAAGAAGGUUGCCCUGGAGCAGAGGCCCGCAGAAGGGCCAGUGGUGUAUGGUGUUGGGAGAACAGAACCCAGACCAGCAGACAGCAUUGGCACAGCAAGGCUGGUGUGCGGCGAGAAGGAUGUUCUCUUCACAGUGCAGGACUCGUGUGCAGGACUGGGCUCAUGCACUGGUGUCUUCUAGGGAGAAGCUGUUCAAUAAAUAUGAUGGAUGUAGUUGUUUAAUUUCCUGCCUAACUCCCAUCCACAGCUGGGGUGAUGGGCAAACAUGGACUCCUCACACUGUCUUUCUGCAUUUGGAAGACAUAACCAGGGAGUUUGAAGACUUCCCUCACAGGUGCUUUGGUUUCAUUCUUCCAUUUCUUCAUUCAGUCAUCCCAAUUUCACUGAGCUUACUUUGGCUGAAAAUGCAGAAAUGAAAGACUAGCUCUUGCUUCCAGUCCAUGGCCCUCUCAAGAUGAGGCAUCUGUGUCUCAGUUUCAUUGUCUGCCUUUCCCCAUGAGCCUUCCCCUGGACUCUUCUGAGGGAAGGGAGACACAGGCAGAGGACAGGUUGUUGGGAAGUUUGUGGGGACCUGGGCUGGGGCUACUGCAGGUGCAAAACCUGGGAGAGAAGGAAGAGCAAGCAAUGCAAAGCUGCCUCCAAGUAUGUUUUUAUCACCUAAAAAUAGUCGGGGCUGUAAUGACUUUUGGGGGGAUGGGAGAGGAGGGAGAGAAGGCUAUAAGAGGUGCAGAGAAAUCUUAGAUAGCUGGGGUGAUAAGGCAUAUUCUGAAAGAUAUAUUUAGCAAUAUAAAGUUUCAGAAAAGACAGCAUAUUAAAAUCAGGCCUCUCUCCUCCCUCUCAAGCUUCCUCUGGCCUAGGACUAUUCUAAAUUUCUCUCUCUCUUUUAUUUUCUGGAGCUCAGAGUGUUACUGACACUGGGGAGAGGAACACGCAUCCAGUGUAUCUGGACAUUCUUUCCUCAGCCUGACAGCAUGUCGCUGAACCAUAUGUUAAGGCAGACAGGGAGAGAGCAUCACAUUGCAUACUCCCUGAUGGAUCACUGAUGGUGGGAGCCUGAUGGGGCUAAAGAGCAUGGCCCUAUUGGCUUUAUGAGACAAACUCAUCUGUAGGAUUUCCGGGAAGGGAGAAAGUAGAAAUAUGGACUCAUGAGCAGAG